This 382-nucleotide ribosomal RNA is filed under the name uncultured bacterium. Its description in RNAcentral is "bacterial SSU rRNA". It matches the Rfam family "Bacterial small subunit ribosomal RNA", at positions 27 to 412 of the family's 1533-position model. The record is from RNAcentral.
GAUUGAACGCUGGCGGCAUGCCUAACACAUGCAAGUCGAACGGUAACAGGCCCUUCGGGGUGCUGACGAGUGGCGGAUGGGUGAGUAAUACUUAGGAAUCUACCCUGUAGUGGGGGACAACCCGGGAACGUCGGGCUAAUACCGCAUACGCUCUACGGAGGAAAGCGGGGGACCGCAAGGCCUCGCGCUAUUGGAUGAGCCUAAGCCCGAUUAGCUAGUUGGUGGGGUAAUAGCCACCAAGGCAAUGAUCGGUAGCUGGUCUGAGGGGACGGACCAGCACACUGGGACUGAGACACGGCCCAGACUCCUACGGGAGGCAGCAGUGGGGAAGUAUUGGACAAUGGGCGAAAGCCUGAUCCAGCGAUGCCGCGUGUGUGAAGAA